UACGGAGGGUGCAAGCGUUAUCCGGAUUCACUGGGUUUAAAGGGUGCGUAGGCGGGCAGGUAAGUCCGUGGUGAAAUCUCUGAGCUUAACUCAGAAACUGCCAUGGAUACUAUUUGUCUUGAAUAUUGUGGAGGUAAGCGGAAUAUGUCAUGUAGCGGUGAAGUGCUUAGAUAUGACAUAGAACACCAAUUGCGAAGGCAGCUUACUACACAGUUAUUGACGCUGAGGCACGAAAGCGUGGGGAUCAAACAGG
Molecule: ribosomal RNA, 253 nt
Filed under: uncultured bacterium
Lineage: Bacteria
Description: partial 16S ribosomal RNA
Rfam family: Bacterial small subunit ribosomal RNA
Source: RNAcentral